GUCGAGUGCGCGGCUGUAGCAAUACAGCUGGCGCACGGCGCACGGGUGCGUAACACGUGGGCAAUCUGCCCUCGGAUGGGGGAUAACCCCGCGAAAGCGGGGCUAAUACCGCAUGACAUUCCGGAGACUCCGGUCUCUGGAUUCAAAGGCCGCAAGGCCGUCUGAGGAGGAGCCCGCGCCCGAUUAGCUUGUUGGCGGGGUAACGGCCCACCAAGGCUAUGAUCGGUAGCCGGUCUGAGAGGAUGGCCGGCCACACUGGAACUGAGACACGGUCCAGACUCCUACGGGAGGCAGCAGUGGGGAAUAUUGCGCAAUGGGCGAAAGCCUGACGCAGCGACGCCGCGUGGGGGAUGAAGCUUCUCGGAGUGUAAACCCCUUUCGACCCGGACGAAUGACCCGCAAGGGUUUGACGGUACGGGUAUAAGAAGCCCCGGCUAACUACGUGCCAGCAGCCGCGGUAAUACGUAGGGGGCCAGCGUUGCUCGGAAUUACUGGGCGUAAAGGGUUCGUAGGCGGUGCGGCAAGUUGGGAGUGAAAUCUCUGGGCUUAACCCAGAGGCUGCUUUCAAAACUGCCGUGCUCGAGUGCGGGAGAGGCCAGUGGAAUUGCAGGUGUAGCGGUGAAAUGCGUAGAUAUCUGCAGGAACACCCGUGGCGAAGGCGGCUGGCUGGACCGCAACUGACGCUGAGGAACGAAAGCUAGGGGAGCAAACAGGAUUAGAUACCCUGGUAGUCCUAGCCCU
This 741-nucleotide ribosomal RNA is filed under the name uncultured bacterium. RNAcentral's name for it is "bacterial SSU rRNA". It matches the Rfam family "Bacterial small subunit ribosomal RNA", at positions 61 to 803 of the family's 1533-position model. The record is from RNAcentral.